This is a long non-coding RNA of Mastomys coucha (southern multimammate mouse), 196 nucleotides long. RefSeq lists it as uncharacterized. Lineage: Eukaryota; Metazoa; Chordata; Mammalia; Rodentia; Muridae. The transcript is spliced from 2 exons. The record is from RefSeq and is a predicted model, not a curated record.
GUGACAUAUACUAUGCGGAGUCCAUUUUCCAUCAUCAACCAUGAAUGUAAGAAAUUCAUGGGCUUCAGAGAUGGUCUGUCCAUUGAGGAAAUGGGGUUAUUGGAACAAUCUUCUCUAAUGGGUUGAUGAAAAUCUAUGUUUUUAAAUCAGCAGUAUUUUUAAGAAACUAAAAUAAAAUAGUUGGACACAUAGUGCA